RNAcentral lists this ribosomal RNA (468 nucleotides) under uncultured bacterium. RNAcentral describes it as "partial 16S ribosomal RNA". It matches the Rfam family "Bacterial small subunit ribosomal RNA", at positions 28 to 507 of the family's 1533-position model. The record is from RNAcentral.
GACGAACGCUGGCGGCGUGCUUAAUACAUGCAAGUCGAACGGAAAGGCCCUGCUUUUGUUGGUUGCUCGAGUGGCGAACGGGUGAGUAACACGUGUGUAACCUGCCCUUGUCUUUGGGAUAACUUCUGGGAACUGGGGCGAAUACCGGGUAGGAUCUCCUGCUGCAUGGUGUGGGUUGGAAAGUUUCGGCGUUUGGGGAUGGACUCGCGGGUUAUCAGCUAGUUUGGGGGGUAGUGGUUUUCCAAGGCUUUGACGGGUAGCCGGCAUGAGAGGGUGACCGGCGACCUGGGGACUGAGAUAGGCACCAGAAUCCUACCGGCGGCAGCAGUGGGGAACCUUGCACAAUGGCCCCACGUCUGAUGCAGAAACGCUGCGUGCGGAAUGCCGGCCUACGAGUUGUAAACCGAUUUCGAAUGUGACGUAGACUGAGUGACGGUAAUGGGUAAAGAAGCCCCGGCUAACUACGUG